RNAcentral lists this ribosomal RNA (380 nucleotides) under uncultured eukaryote. RNAcentral describes it as "SSU rRNA". It matches the Rfam family "Eukaryotic small subunit ribosomal RNA", at positions 587 to 972 of the family's 1831-position model. The record is from RNAcentral.
AGCUCCAAUAGCGUAUAUUAAAGUUGUUGCAGUUAAAAAGCUCGUAGUCGGAUUUCGGGUCGGGCCGAGCGGUCUGCCGAUGGGUAUGCACUGUUUGGCGCGGCCUUCUUUCCGGAGACCGCGGCUACUCUUAACUGAGCGGGCGUGGGAGACGGAUCGUUUACUUUGAAAAAUCAGAGUGUUUCAAGCAGGCAGCUCGCUCUUGCAUGGAUUAGCAUGGGAUAAUGAAAUAGGACUCUGGUGCUAUUUUGUUGGUUUCGAACACCGGAGUAAUGAUUAACAGGGACAGUCAGGGGCACUCGUAUUCCGUCGAGAGAGGUGAAAUUCUUGGACCGUUUGAGGACUAACUACUGCGAAAGCAUUUGCCAAGAGUGUUUUCA